GUCAGCCCCAUGCAGGUUCCCUGGUUGUCAGUUCAGUGUCUGUGAGCCCCUAUGAGCCCAGGUUAGUUGAUUCUGUGAAGUGUCUUGUAGUAUCCUUUACCCUUCUGGAUCCUACAAACCUUUCUCCCCCUCUUAUGCAAGAUUCCCCAAGUUCCACCUAAUGUUUGGCUGUGGGUCUGCAUCUGUUUCCACCAGUUCCUGAAUGAAGCCUCUCUGAGGAUGAUUGUUCUAAG
Peromyscus maniculatus bairdii (prairie deer mouse) is the source of this 233-nucleotide non-coding RNA. NCBI's taxonomy places the organism in Eukaryota, Metazoa, Chordata, Mammalia, Rodentia, Cricetidae. The record is from RefSeq and is a predicted model, not a curated record.